Molecule: RNase P RNA, 385 nt
Filed under: Mucilaginibacter straminoryzae
Lineage: Bacteria; Pseudomonadati; Bacteroidota; Sphingobacteriia; Sphingobacteriales; Sphingobacteriaceae
Description: Bacterial RNase P class A
Rfam family: Bacterial RNase P class A
About the family: Ribonuclease P (RNase P) is a ubiquitous endoribonuclease, found in archaea, bacteria and eukarya as well as chloroplasts and mitochondria. Its best characterised activity is the generation of mature 5'-ends of tRNAs by cleaving the 5'-leader elements of precursor-tRNAs.
Source: Rfam by way of RNAcentral
AGAGCAAAACGUUCUAUCGCUGUUUGCUUUCGGGCAAAUGGAGGAAAGUCCGGGCAACGCAGAGCAUCCUGCUUCCUAACGGGAAGGCGCCUUACCAGCGGGCGACAGCAAGUGCCACAGAAAAAAUACCGCCCCGAGUCAUCGGGGUAAGGGUGAAAACGUGAGGUAAGAGCUCACGGCUUUUCCGGGCGACCGGAAUUGCGGUAAACCUCAGGAGUUGAAAGACCAAAUAGGUCCCGAAUUUAAGGCGGCUCGUCUUAUUUGCCUUUACGGCAUGUUCGGGAUGGGUAGGUUGCUUAGAGCCUUACAGCAAUGUAAGGCCCAGAUUAAUGAUAGAAGCUGCUGCAAAGCAGUACAGAACCCGGCUUAUAGUAAUGCUGCUGGU